UGGGGAAUCUUGCGCAAUGGACGAAAGUCUGACGCAGCGACGCCGCGUGGGCGACGAAGGCCUUCGGUUGUAAGCCCUGUGGGGCGGGACGAACACUCUCUAGGCGAACAGGCUAGGGAGCUGACGGUACCGCCUUAGCAAGCACCGGCUAACUCUGUGCCAGCAGCCGCGGUAAGACAGAGGGUGCAAACGUUGCUCGGAAUUACUGGGCGUAAAGCGCGUGUAGGCGGUUCCGCAAGUCAGGUGUGAAAGCCCAGGGCUCAACCCUGGAAGUGCACUUGAUACUACGGAGCUUGAGUACUGAAGAGGAGAGCGGAAUUCCCGGUGUAGAGGUGAAAUUCGUAGAUAUCGGGAGGAACACCAGUGGCGAAGGCGGCGUCUCUGGGCAGAUACUGACGCUGAGACGCGAAAGCAUGGGGAGCAAACAGGAUUAGAUACCCUGGUAGUCCAUGCUGUAAACGAUGAGAACUGGGUGUUGUGGG
This 482-nucleotide ribosomal RNA is filed under the name uncultured Pseudomonadota bacterium. Its description in RNAcentral is "bacterial SSU rRNA". It matches the Rfam family "Bacterial small subunit ribosomal RNA", at positions 355 to 829 of the family's 1533-position model. The record is from RNAcentral. Lineage: Bacteria; Pseudomonadati; Pseudomonadota.